RNAcentral lists this ribosomal RNA (406 nucleotides) under uncultured microorganism. RNAcentral's name for it is "bacterial SSU rRNA". It matches the Rfam family "Bacterial small subunit ribosomal RNA", at positions 9 to 418 of the family's 1533-position model. The record is from RNAcentral.
GAGUUUGAUCCUGGCUCAGAUUGAACGCUAGCGGGAUGCCUUACACAUGCAAGUCGAACGGCAGCACGGACUCCGGUCUGGUGGCGAGUGGCGAACGGGUGAGUAAUGUAUCGGAACGUGCCUAGUAGCGGGGGGAUAACUACGCGAAAGCGUAGCUAAUACCGCAUACGCCCUACGGGGAAAGCAGGGGAUCGCAAGACCUUGCACUAUUAGAGCGGCCGAUAUCGGAUUAGCUAGUUGGUGGGUAACGGCUCACCAAGGCGACGAUCCGUAGCUGGUUUGAGAGGACGACCAGCCACACUGGGACUGAGACACGGCCCAGACUCCUACGGGAGGCAGCAGUGGGGAAUUUUGGACAAUGGGGGAAACCCUGAUCCAGCCAUCCCGCGUGUGCGAUGAAGGCCUC